Molecule: ribosomal RNA, 406 nt
Filed under: uncultured bacterium
Lineage: Bacteria
Description: partial 16S ribosomal RNA
Rfam family: Bacterial small subunit ribosomal RNA
Source: RNAcentral
AUUGAACGCUGGAGGCAGGCAUAACACAUGCAAGUCGAACGAGUGGCGGACGGGUGAGUAAUGUCUGGGAAAAUGCCCGAUGGAGGGGGAUAACUACUGGAAACGGUGGCUAAUACCGCAUACCAUCGGAUUUGCCCAGAGGGGAUUAGCUAGUAGGUGGGGUAAAGGCUCACCUAGGCGACGAUCCCUAGCUGGUCUUAGAGGAUGACCAGCCACACGGGCACUGAGACACGGUCUCGAUUCGUACGCGAGGCCGCAGUGGUAAAUAUUGCAGAAUGGGCGAAAGCGUGGUGCGACGAUUCCGCGUGAAUGAUGACGGCCUGCGGGUUGUAGAGUACUGUCAGCAGCGAGGCGUUAGCGACAGAAGAAGCACCGGCUAGCUCCGUGCCAGCAGCCGCGGUAAUUC